GCUGGCUUUAUUCAGAAAGACCUGCUGGCAGUUCCUACUGGAGAUCCCUUGUUAGCAUUCAGUGGAGGGCAUUAGAUGUACCCGCCUUCUCACCCCAGCAACUCCACAUAGUCUACAUCCCCAACCUGGCAUAGCAGGUCAUUUGUUGAAAGGGACACCAACCACUUCAGAAAAUGCCUGCUGUAAAUCGGUGUCGCAGCAUUUCACUUACUUGGGCAGUUAAUGUUUCUAGUCUGCUUGCAGACAGCAGGAUUAAACUUUAAAGAUGGGAAUCUAAAGAAAUUAAACAGAUUAGGGCCCUUGGAACAUUGCCAGAAUGCUGUGUGUUCACAGAGGUGUAAUACAACGUACAGCUGAUGUUAUCAACAUCAAAAGUAACCAAAGCACCCUGAGUGCUGCAAUCAAGUGUGCUGGAACGGGAAUUAUUUCAUUUCCUCCUAGCUUAGGAGCCAUUUUCUAGACCUCACUGCAUAGAGCUAGUCAUGGUGUUUUGAUUCACUACACAGACCUGCCCAGGCUGAA
This 522-nucleotide long non-coding RNA is filed under the name Gallus gallus (chicken). RNAcentral's name for it is "long non-coding RNA NONGGAT011857". Lineage: Eukaryota; Metazoa; Chordata; Aves; Galliformes; Phasianidae. The record is from RNAcentral.